This is a long non-coding RNA of Gymnodraco acuticeps, 545 nucleotides long. RefSeq lists it as uncharacterized. Lineage: Eukaryota; Metazoa; Chordata; Actinopteri; Perciformes; Bathydraconidae. The transcript has 3 exons. The record is from RefSeq and is a predicted model, not a curated record.
UGACUAACGGCGCCUCCUUCUCAACCUAGGCCCCUCCUUCACAACCUAAGCCCCUCCUGGCACGUGACUAACGGCCCCUCCUUCUCAACCUUUGAGGCACGUGACAUCCUGUUUCCGGGGUAGCAGUUCUGUCACGAUGGAGAAACACAUCACACACUUACACCAUGAUGGGAGCCCAAAAGUGUAUAUUUGUAAUUCUGGCAGUUAUCACUGCCCGUUCUGCCAAUACCAGGGUCAGAGGCUUCAGGUGGAAUACCAUGCCAAAAGCCAUUCUUCUGUGAGGCACAGAGAGUUCACAAUUGUUAAGUGUGGCUUAAGCUGCAGAACAGCAAGCCAUUUUCAUUGUCUGUAUUGCUCACAGACCAUAAUUAAUAGGGGCCAUUUUUUACGGCAUGUCUAUUCACAUGAGCCAAAUGCUGUGACUGUAGGGCGACUAACAGCACCUGCCCAGCUCCCCCCACCAUCUCACCUGCUCACUGCAGCACCUGCCCAGCUCCCCCCACCAUCUCACCUGCUCACUGCAGCACCUGCCCAGCUCCCCCCAC